CCUACGGGAGGCAGCAGUGAGGAAUAUUGGUCAAUGGACGCAAGUCUGAACCAGCCAUGCCGCGUGCAGGAAGACGGCUCUAUGAGUUGUAAACUGCUUUUGUACGGGGGCAAACGCUGAUACGCGUAUCUGUCUGAAAGUAUCUUACGACUAAGGAUCGGCUAACUCCGUGCCAGCAGCCGCGGUAAUCCGGAAGGUCCGAUCGUUAUCCGGAUUUAUUGGGUUUAAAUGGAGCUUAGGCCGGCUUUUAAGUCAGCUGUGAAAGUCCGGGGCUCAAACGGGGAAUUGCAGUUGAAACUGGAGGCCUUGAGUGCAAACAGGGAUGCCGGAAUUCAUGGUGUAGCGGUGAAAUGCUUAGAUAUCAUGAAGAACUCCGAUCGCGAAGGCAAGUGGCCGGGGUGCAACUGACGCUGAGGCUCGAAAGUGCGGGUAUCAAACAGGAUUAGAUACCCCAGUAGUC
Molecule: ribosomal RNA, 460 nt
Filed under: uncultured bacterium
Lineage: Bacteria
Description: partial 16S ribosomal RNA
Rfam family: Bacterial small subunit ribosomal RNA
Source: RNAcentral